AAGGAAUAUUGGUCAAUGGACGCAAGUCUGAACCAGCCAUGCCGCGUGAAGGAUGAAGGCCCUCUGGGUUGUAAACUUCUUUUAUCUGGGACGAAAAAAGGGGAUUCUUCCUCACUUGACGGUACCUCGCGACGAAGCCACGGCUAACUACGUGCCAGCAGCCGCGGUAAUACGUAGGUGGCAAGCGUUGUCCGGAUUUACUGGGCGUAAAGCGCGCGCAGGCGGGCUGGUCAGUCUGGGGUGAAAUCUCACGGCUCAACCGUGAGAGGUCCCUGGAUACUGCUAGCCUUGAGGGGCUCAGAGGAGAGUGGAAUUCCGGGUGUAGUGGUGGAAUGCGUAGAUAUCCGGAGGAACACCAGUGGCGAAAGCGGCUCUCUGGGGGCAACCUGACGCUGAGGCGCGAAAGCGUGGGGAGCGAA
RNAcentral lists this ribosomal RNA (419 nucleotides) under uncultured bacterium. Its description in RNAcentral is "bacterial SSU rRNA". It matches the Rfam family "Bacterial small subunit ribosomal RNA", at positions 356 to 772 of the family's 1533-position model. The record is from RNAcentral.